Molecule: microRNA precursor, 156 nt
Filed under: Pelobates cultripes (western spadefoot toad)
Lineage: Eukaryota; Metazoa; Chordata; Amphibia; Anura; Pelobatidae
Source: RNAcentral
GCAGACACAUUUCAGCCAAUCAGCAGCAGACCCUCCCUCCCAGACCCUACCACCUCCUGGACAGCAUCCAUUUUGAAGCUGCAUUCUUAGUGAGCUGUCCAGGAGGUGGGAGGGUCUGGGAGGGAGGGUCUGCUGCUGAUUGGCUGGAAUGUGUUU